CGCGUAGGCGGCUUGUACAGUCAGGCGUGAAAUUCCUGGGCUCAACCUGGGGGCUGCGUUUGAUACGUGCGGGCUUGAGUUCGGAAGAGGGUCGUGGAAUUCCCAGUGUAGAGGUGAAAUUCGUAGAUAUUGGGAAGAACACCGGUGGCGAAGGCGGCGACCUGGUCCGAUACUGACGCUGAGGCGCGAAAGCGUGGGGAGCAAACA
This 207-nucleotide ribosomal RNA is filed under the name uncultured bacterium. Its description in RNAcentral is "partial 16S ribosomal RNA". It matches the Rfam family "Bacterial small subunit ribosomal RNA", at positions 568 to 774 of the family's 1533-position model. The record is from RNAcentral.